Molecule: non-coding RNA, 400 nt
Organism: Balaenoptera ricei (Rice's whale)
Lineage: Eukaryota; Metazoa; Chordata; Mammalia; Artiodactyla; Balaenopteridae
Source: the annotation of a RefSeq genome assembly
AUGGUGAAGACCCAGCAAGUUUUGUUGGCUGUUCUGUGGCUUCGGUUACACUGUAAAACAGGGGUAAGUGGCAAAAAUGGUGUGGAGCAGCGUCCUCGGUACCUGAGUGCCCUGGAAGGAGACUUUGUCACAAUCAACUGCAGUUACUCAGGAGAAAUGACCACCUUACAGUGGUUGCAACAGAAUCCUGGAGGAAGUGUUGUCUCCUUGUUUAUACUGAGCUUAGAGAUGAAGAAGAAAGGAAGAGUAAGCGCCACAAUCAACAGAAAAGAACGUCACAGCUCCCUGCACAUCACAGCUUCCCAGCCCCGAGACUCUGCCACCUACUUUUGUGCUGUAGAGACACAGUGCUUCCCCAGGCAUCUGGAGCCUGUACCCAAACUCUAAAGCUGAAAGGCAU